This 399-nucleotide ribosomal RNA is filed under the name uncultured Mollicutes bacterium. RNAcentral describes it as "bacterial SSU rRNA". It matches the Rfam family "Bacterial small subunit ribosomal RNA", at positions 980 to 1382 of the family's 1533-position model. Lineage: Bacteria; Bacillati; Mycoplasmatota; Mollicutes. The record is from RNAcentral.
CUUGACAUACCAUUGACAGGUCUAGAGAUAGACCCUCCUUCGGGCAAUGGAUACAGGUGGUGCAUGGUUGUCGUCAGCUCGUGCCGUGAGGUGUUGGGUUAAGUCCCGCAACGAGCGCAACCCUCAUUGUUAGUUACUACCAUUCAGUUGGGGACUCUAAUGAGACUGCCAACGACAAGUUGGAGGAAGGUGGGGAUGACGUCAAAUCAUCAUGCCCUUUAUGACCUGGGCUACAAACGUACUACAAUGGCCAAUACAAAGAGAUGCGAAGCGGUGACGUGGAGCGAACCUCAGAAAGUUGGUCUCAGUUCAGAUUGAAGUCUGCAACUCGACUUCAUGAAGGCGGAAUCGCUAGUAAUCGCGAGUCAGCAGAUCGCGGUGAAUACGUUCCCGGGUUUU